GAGGGUAUAGCUCAGUGGUAGAGCGCAUGUCAGUGGUAGAGCGCAUGCUUAACAUGCAUGACGUCUUGGGUUCAAUCCCCAGUACCUCCA
Molecule: transfer RNA, 90 nt
Filed under: Camelus bactrianus (Bactrian camel)
Lineage: Eukaryota; Metazoa; Chordata; Mammalia; Artiodactyla; Camelidae
Also listed under: 2 other names
Rfam family: tRNA
About the family: Transfer RNA (tRNA) molecules are approximately 80 nucleotides in length.
Source: Rfam by way of RNAcentral